CAGCAGCCGCGGGAACACGGAGGGCGCGAGCGUUACCCGGAUUUACUGGGCGUAAAGGGCGUGUAGGCGGCCUGGGGCGUCCCAUGUGAAAGGCCACGGCUCAACCGUGGAGGAGCGUGGGAUACGCUCAGGCUAGAGGGUGGGAGAGGGUGGUGGAAUUCCCGGAGUAGCGGUGAAAUGCGCAGGUACCGGGAGGAACGCCGAUGGCGAAGGCAGCCACCUGGUCCACUUCUGACGCUGAGGCGCGAAAGCGUGGGGAGCAAACCGGAUUAGAUACCCGAGUAGUCCCUGUCUCUUAUAC
RNAcentral lists this ribosomal RNA (301 nucleotides) under uncultured bacterium. RNAcentral describes it as "partial 16S ribosomal RNA". It matches the Rfam family "Bacterial small subunit ribosomal RNA", at positions 509 to 807 of the family's 1533-position model. The record is from RNAcentral.